This 498-nucleotide ribosomal RNA is filed under the name uncultured bacterium. RNAcentral describes it as "bacterial SSU rRNA". It matches the Rfam family "Bacterial small subunit ribosomal RNA", at positions 8 to 518 of the family's 1533-position model. The record is from RNAcentral.
AGAGUUUGAUUAUGGCUCAGGAUGAACGCUGGCGGCGUGCUUAACACAUGCAAGUCGAACGGAGUAUAUUAAAGCUUGCUUUGUUAUACUUAGUGGCGGACGGGUGAGUAACACGUGGGUAACCUGCCCUGUACUGGGGGAUAACAGCUGGAAACGGCUGUUAAUACCGCAUAUGCGCACGGAGCCGCAUGGCCCUGGGCGGAAAGAUUCAUCGGUACAGGAUGGGCCCGCGCCGGAUUAACUUGUUGGCGGGGUAACGGCCCACCAAGGUGAUGAUCCGUAGCCGACCUGAGAGGGUGACCGGCCACAUUGGGACUGAGACACGGCCCAAACUCCUACGGGAGGCAGCAGUGGGGGAUAUUGCACAAUGGGGGAAACCCUGAUGCCAGCGACGCCGCGUGAAGGAUGACGUAUUUCGGUAUGUAAACUUCUAUCAGCGGGGAAGAAGAUGACGGUACCCGCACAAGAAGCCCCGGCUAACUACGUGCCAGCAGCGGC